Molecule: ribosomal RNA, 1009 nt
Filed under: uncultured bacterium
Lineage: Bacteria
Description: bacterial SSU rRNA
Rfam family: Bacterial small subunit ribosomal RNA
Source: RNAcentral
CCGGCUAAUUCCGUGCCAGCAGCCGCGGUAAUACGGAGGGUGCGAGCGUUAAUUGGAAUUACUGGGCGUAAAGCGCAUGCAGGUGGUUUGUUAAGUCAGAUGUGAAAGCCCGGGGCUCAACCUCGGAAUUGCAUUUGAAACUGGCAAACUAGAGUACUGUAGAGGGGGGUAGAAUUUCAGGUGUAGCGGUGAAAUGCGUAGAGAUCUGAAGGAAUACCGGUGGCGAAGGCGGCCCCCUGGACAGAUACUGACACUCAGAUGCGAAAGCGUGGGGAGCAAACAGGAUUAGAUACCCUGGUAGUCCACGCCGUAAACGAUGUCUACUUGGAGGUUGUGGCCUUGAGCCGUGGCUUUCGGAGCUAACGCGUUAAGUAGACCGCCUGGGGAGUACGGUCGCAAGAUUAAAACUCAAAUGAAUUGACGGGGGCCCGCACAAGCGGUGGAGCAUGUGGUUUAAUUCGAUGCAACGCGAAGAACCUUACCUACUCUUGACAUCUACAGAAGCCAGCGGAGACGCAGGUGUGCCUUCGGGAACUGUAAGACAGGUGCUGCAUGGCUGUCGUCAGCUCGUGUUGUGAAAUGUUGGGUUAAGUCCCGCAACGAGCGCAACCCUUAUCCUUGUUUGCCAGCACUUCGGGUGGGAACUCCAGGGAGACUGCCGGUGAUAAACCGGAGGAAGGUGGGGACGACGUCAAGUCAUCAUGGCCCUUACGAGUAGGGCUACACACGUGCUACAAUGGCGCAUACAGAGGGCGGCCAACUUGCGAAAGUGAGCGAAUCCCAAAAAGUGCGUCGUAGUCCGGAUUGGAGUCUGCAACUCGACUCCAUGAAGUCGGAAUCGCUAGUAAUCGUGGAUCAGAAUGCCACGGUGAAUACGUUCCCGGGCCUUGUACACACCGCCCGUCACACCAUGGGAGUGGGCUGCAAAAGAAGUGGGUAGUUUAACCUUCGGGAGGACGCUCACCACUUUGUGGUUCAUGACUGGGGUGAAGUCGUAACAAGGUAACCG